This 246-nucleotide ribosomal RNA is filed under the name uncultured bacterium. RNAcentral describes it as "partial 16S ribosomal RNA". It matches the Rfam family "Bacterial small subunit ribosomal RNA", at positions 527 to 772 of the family's 1533-position model. The record is from RNAcentral.
GGAGGAUGCGAGCGUUAUCCGGAUUUAUUGGGUUUAAAGGGUGCGUAGGUGGUAAUUUAAGUCAGCGGUGAAAGUUUGUGGCUCAACCAUAAAAUUGCCGUUGAAACUGGGUUACUUGAGUGUGUUUGAGGUAGGCGGAAUGCGUGGUGUAGCGGUGAAAUGCAUAGAUAUCACGCAGAACUCCAAUUGCGAAGGCAGCUUACUAAACCAUAACUGACACUGAAGCACGAAAGCGUGGGUAUCAAA